GGUGCCCGUACCGCAAACCGACACAGGUAGGUAGGAAGAAGAUUCUAAGGCCAACGGGAGAAGGGUUGUUAAGGAACUCGGCAAAUUGACCCCGUAACUUCGGGAGAAGGGGUGCUCCAGAGAUGGAGCCGCAGAGAAUCGGCCCAAGCAACUGUUUACCAAAAACACAGGUUUGUGCUAAAUCGAAAGAUGACGUAUACGAGCUGACGCCUGCCCGGUGCUGGAAGGUUAAGAGGAGAUGUGCAAGCAUUGAAUCGAAGCCCCAGUGAACGGCGGCCGUAACUAUAACGGUCCUAAGGUAGCGAAAUUCCUUGUCAGGUAAGUUCUGACCCGCAUGAAAGGCGUAAUGAUUUGGGCACUGUCUCGACAGCCCGCCCGGCGAAAUUGUAGUACCGGUGAAGAUGCCGGUUACCCGCGACAAGACGGAAAGACCCCAUGGAGCUUUACUGUAGCCUAAUAUUGGGUUUCGAUGUUGCAUGCACAGGAUAGAUGGGACACAGGGAAACAAGUGCUUUGGCAUUUGUGGAGUGGCCGUUGGGAUACCAUCCUUGCGAUAUUGGAAUUCUAACCUGCGCCUUUGAAUCAAGGCGGGGGACAUUGUUAGGUGGGCAGUUUGACUGGGGCGGUCGCCUCCUAAAGAGUAACGGAGGCGUUCAAAGGUUCGCUCAGCUUGAACGGAAAUCAAGCAAAAGAGUGCAAACGCAGAAGCGAGCCUAACUGCGAGACUGACGGGUCGAGCAGUAACGAAAGUUGGAGUUAGUGAUCCGGUGGUAUGUGAGUGGAAAUGCCAUCGCUCAACGGAUAAAAGUUACCCUGGGGAUAACAGGCUGAUCUCCCCCAAGAGUCCACAUCGACGGGGAGGUUUGGCACCUCGAUGUCGGCUCAUCGCAUCCUGGGGCUGUAUUCGGUCCCAAGGGUUUGGCUGUUCGCCAAUUAAAGCGGUACGCGAGCUGGGUUCAGAACGUCGUGAGACAGUUCGGUCCCUAUCUGUCGUGGGCGCAGGAUAUUUGAUGGGAGCUGU
Molecule: ribosomal RNA, 1021 nt
Filed under: human gut metagenome
Description: bacterial LSU rRNA
Rfam family: Bacterial large subunit ribosomal RNA
Source: RNAcentral